GGCCUCAAUGCUAAUAGUAUUGAGGAUUGACGUUACCCACAGAAGAAGCACCGGCUAACUCUGUGCCAGCAGCCGCGGUAAUACAGAGGGUGCAAGCGUUAAUCGGAAUUACUGGGCGUAAAGGGUGCGUAGGUGGUUUUUAAGUCAGAUGUGAAAUCCCUGGGCUCAACCUAGGAAUUGCAUUUGAUACUGAAUAACUUGAGUAUGGUAGAGGGAAGUGGAAUUUCCAGUGUAGCGGUGAAAUGCGUAGAUAUUGGAAGGAACAUCAGUGGCGAAGGCGACUUCCUGGACCAUUACUGACACUGAGGCACGAAAGCGUGGGGAGCGAACAGGAUUAGAUACCCUGGUAGUCCACGCCGUAAACGAUGAGAACUAGAUGUUAGGGGGCUUAGACCUCUUAGUAUCGCAGCAAACGCGUUAAGUUCUCCGCCUGGGGAGUACGGCCGCAAGGUUAAAACUCAAAUGAAUUGAC
Molecule: ribosomal RNA, 472 nt
Filed under: uncultured bacterium
Lineage: Bacteria
Description: bacterial SSU rRNA
Rfam family: Bacterial small subunit ribosomal RNA
Source: RNAcentral